AUACGUAGGUGGCAAGCGUUAUCCGGAAUUAUUGGGCGUAAAGAGGGAGCAGGCGGCAGCAAGGGUCUGUGGUGAAAGCCUGAAGCUUAACUUCAGUAAGCCAUAGAAACCAGGCAGCUAGAGUGCAGGAGAGGAUCGUGGAAUUCCAUGUGUAGCGGUGAAAUGCGUAGAUAUAUGGAGGAACACCAGUGGCGAAGGCGCCGAUCUGGCCUGCAACUGACGCUCAGUCCCGAAAGCGUGGGGAGCAAAUAGGAUUAGAUACCCUAGUAGUCCACGCCGUAAACGAUGAGUACUAAGUGUUGGAUGUCAAAGUUCAGUGCUGCAGUUAACGCAAUAAGUACUCCGCCUGAGUAGUACGUUCGCAAGAAUGAAACUCAAAUGAAUUGACGGGG
This 392-nucleotide ribosomal RNA is filed under the name uncultured bacterium. Its description in RNAcentral is "partial 16S ribosomal RNA". It matches the Rfam family "Bacterial small subunit ribosomal RNA", at positions 523 to 918 of the family's 1533-position model. The record is from RNAcentral.